GACGAACGCUGGCGGCGUGCUUAACACAUGCAAGUCGAACGGACAGGCGCUGCUCUUGUGGGGUGCACGUGUGCCGCACGGGUGAGUAACACGUGUGUAUCAUGUCCCUGACUUUGGGAUAUCUCUUGGAAACUGGGGCUAUUAUACCAUAGGAGCUCUUGAUGCACGGUGGGCGUUGGAAAGUUUCGGUGGUGGGGGCUGGACUGGCGGCUUACCCGCUUGUUGGUGAAGUAGUGGUUUUCAAAGCUUAAGACGGGUAGCCGGCAUGGGAGGGUGACCGGCCACAUGGGUACUAAGGGACGGACCAGACUCCUACGGGAGGCAGCAGGGGGAAAUAUUGCAGAAUGAGCGGAAGCCUGAUACAACAGCGCCGCGUGCGUGAUGACGGCCUUCGGGUUGUAAACCGCUGUCGCCUGUGACGAAGCGUGAGUGACGGUAAUUGGUAAAGAAGCACCGGCUAACUACGUG
Molecule: ribosomal RNA, 468 nt
Filed under: uncultured bacterium
Lineage: Bacteria
Description: partial 16S ribosomal RNA
Rfam family: Bacterial small subunit ribosomal RNA
Source: RNAcentral